AGGUGUUCUGGGUUCUGCGUUGGCAUGCUGCAUCCCUCCCUGGUUAAAUGUGGAUGGGCAUAUAGACAGUGCUGCUGAGGAGUUCUUUUGUAUAUACAACACCCUUGACAAACUGGUGGACCUGAUCAGAAGUUCCACAAGCGAUCCGACUGCUCUUUCUGAACUGAACAUGCUGCAGGAAAUACUAGAAGACAAGGUUCAUGUUAAUCAUUCUACGCUGCUGAAGUCAAAGAAUAUGGAGGAAAGAAAAAGUUUUUUUCAGCAGCGGAGAGUGAAGCUGCUGGAGGAAGUAGACACCUGGAGCCAGAGUCUGGAGGAAAGAGCUUUAAAAACUUCUGUCUUUGGACUCAUUAUGAAAGUCAUUCAACUGAUUAAGAAGUGGGAGUGGGGAACAACCAGAAACCACCUCU
Paralichthys olivaceus (Japanese flounder) is the source of this 410-nucleotide non-coding RNA. The record is from RefSeq and is a predicted model, not a curated record. NCBI's taxonomy places the organism in Eukaryota, Metazoa, Chordata, Actinopteri, Pleuronectiformes, Paralichthyidae.